This is a long non-coding RNA of Mustela erminea (ermine), 1669 nucleotides long. RefSeq lists it as uncharacterized. NCBI's taxonomy places the organism in Eukaryota, Metazoa, Chordata, Mammalia, Carnivora, Mustelidae. The transcript is spliced from 4 exons. The record is from RefSeq and is a predicted model, not a curated record.
UGAUGGAGUUACCCUGCCUUCAGACUGAUCAGAUACGGCUGUGGGCUGGGGCUGGGAUCUUGGGAGACUGACAGACCCUCUUGGUGGAAGCUGGGAAAGAAAAGUGCGAUGGGAAAGUGAGGCAAGGCCAGCCGCACUGAGCGUCCCAGGCUGAUCCUGGCACAGUUUCUGCAAAACGUUGGCCCAUGAGAUUGGAGUUGGGAUGUGAGGCACUGGCUCAGUGAAAUAAAGAGAUGGCGUUCCUUGGAAUGGAGGUGGUCUAGAAAAUGAGGUAUGAAUAUGCACUUCAUGAUUAUAAAAAUAACUGUCAUCUGGAGCAGAGUGACAUUUCCCUGGGACCGAACUACAGGAUGAACUUGAAGCUGGCUAAAGAAAGUACGGUCAGGAAACAUCUGGGGUCUUGCCUGAAGUUUUGGGGAUCGUGUUUUGAGGAAAAUAUUUAUCGAAGUAUGCACUAACAUGGAAGACCAAUCAACGUCUACUAUCAUUUCCUGUUUGCACACUGACAAGAUAAAAAUGGAAAACACUACUAAAAAGAGGAAAUGCUAAAAGGAUGGAGGCUUUAUUUCUUUGGAAAAUCCUUCCUUGGACUAAAAGUAUGUUUUAUCAUAAAGUAAGCUAUUGAAACUACAUACAGGGAUCUUUUUUUUUUUUUUUUUUUUUCAAUUCAUGGUUGGGAUUGAUUGUGCUGAUAACUUGAUAUUGCUAUUACAUAGAUGUUUAUAUUCUCUCUCCUGUUCUCUUUAUGUGGGUGUCCUAGAAUCCCAAAACUAUGUUAAUGUCUGGCAAUUUGAAAGCUUAUGUUCUAUCUAUCUAUGAAACAAAGCAAAACAAACCUCUAACAUUUCAUUUUAAGCUUCUUUAAGUAGCAGUUAACUAUGGGUUUGGGAAUUAGAUAGCCCUCAGGGAAUUGUGGCUCUGUCACCUUACCAGCAUUGUGACCUUGGGCAAGAUACUAACCUAAGUUUAGUUUCCUCAGCUGUAAAAUGGAGAUAACAGUGCCACUAAUCCCUUUAUUUGCUGAUUCGAUACACAUUCACUGUUCUCCCUAUCAACAGUAAUUUCCAAUUUCAUCAUCCCAACCUAGGCUUCAUUCAAGUUUUGUUUGCUUCUUUGGGUAAACUGACUGUACCAAAUUUUCCCAGUCUCACAUUACCCCCCCAAAAAAGAACUGAGCCACAUUAUUUAAUACUGAAAUAAAUUAGGAGAAGAAAAGAAGUAGCUUGUACCUUUUGAAUUUACUAAUGUCUUUAUCUUAUUAUUUAUAGAAACCAACUACCUCUGAAAUCGUCAUUUAUUAAUCAUUAUAUUUACUUAUGAAUAAUGUAGCAGAAGUUAUAUUUUGGAUGAUGGAGUUGAUUAUCUUUCUAUUCCAUUUACCUCUUUAUUGAGAUUUUCCCUCAAGUUAUCCAGAAUUACAUCUCCCUUAUCUGGUAAGAUUACUGCAAUAUGGACUCAAAAGACAUAUUCAAAUAGGUUUGGGUAGUAAUUUUGGUUAAAUAGAUUAGUGGUGAUCAACAGAGCUAGAAAGUAAAUUAUUAGUCUAUAUAUAUUAAAAUAAUCUAAGAAGAGUUUUGUGGUUAACUGCAUAUGAUGUUAUAAGGCAAGACAAUGUUUUUUUUAGAAGUAAAACAAGUUAAGAAAUGUAAAAAAUAAACAUUUGGUUUAA